UAAAUUGUUAUAUUCGUUUCAGCAAUAGACAUCAUAGUGGAUACUUCAGGUACAUGAAUCACAUACAUAGUUCAAUGUUCAACUCCUCUAAAGAGGUACAAUACUUAUAAUGAUUUUACACAAAGCCAGAACCACCAUGCUUCAUGACAACACCACACAUAACUACAAAUCAGGAAACCAUAGCUUCUCAUGUUCACUGUCAUCCACUUCUGAGUAGCUAGUUCUUCUGGAUUGCAGAAUAUCCUGGCAUUAAGAAAGAUCACACAUGAGUAGAACAUGCAGACCACAUAGCAAUUGAAUUGAAACACCUUUGUUGUAAGACGCAUAUACUAUAAUAAGAAGGAAACAACUACAAUUAUGAUAAGCCAACCAAAGUGUCAUGACAGUACAGUACAGAGGUAUUUUUUCACAAGACAACCACCCACUAUAGGACAAAGGUUGGACGAAAUGUUCUCAUUGUAGCUUAACAACUAUCAUGACAGUACAAUAGAGGUUAAAAAGCAAGUAUUAUUUCCAGAUAAAGAAUACAAAUGCCACCCUGAAAUAAAAUUUAAAAUUCCAAUGCGUAGCUACACUUUUCUAGGCGCACAUCAAGUAUUGACCAAGUUAUUAAAGUAAAUGAGUAUUCAAUAUAGAUUCAACUUUAGGUAACUCAUUAGCAGUUGGGGAAUUAGAAAAAAGAAAUACAUUUGCAUGAUGCAC
This 702-nucleotide long non-coding RNA is filed under the name Triticum aestivum (bread wheat). Its description in RNAcentral is "long non-coding RNA (TAES_LNC016959)". The record is from RNAcentral. Lineage: Eukaryota; Viridiplantae; Streptophyta; Magnoliopsida; Poales; Poaceae.